Octodon degus (degu) is the source of this 100-nucleotide small nucleolar RNA. RefSeq annotates it as small nucleolar RNA U13. The record is from RefSeq and is a predicted model, not a curated record. The transcript has a single exon. NCBI's taxonomy places the organism in Eukaryota, Metazoa, Chordata, Mammalia, Rodentia, Octodontidae.
AUCCUUCAGUUCGUGAACUAAAGAUCUGGUGUUCUGGCCAUUGUGUGAGAUGUGUCUCCCUCAAACCUUGCUAUGAUGUCAGCAUCUUGAGUGGUUAAGG